CCUUAGGGUAAAACUAAGUUUCCUACCACCAUGCAUAAUACCUCCACUAGCUGUGCACAGGACAGCUGACAAUUGUUCCUUGCCUGGUGAUUGCCUGUAUCACCCACUAGAAUAUGAGUUGUAUUAAAAUGAAAACAACACCAGAAGCUGACACACAGAUUGGGAUGGAGAAAAAUAACAGACUUGGAGGAACAGAAACUUCUGCCUGCAAAGGACUGGGACAAAGAGGCAGAUAAAGACCAGCCACCUGCUUCCAGCAUUGCUCUCAUGGCCACUGGGAAUUCAACUUGAAGGCCUUGGAAAACAUUUCUGAUGACUCUGGAAUGGAGGAAAAGCCCAGUGGUUCUGGUUGGAUUUCAUGUAGAAAACCCUCCCCUUGUUUUAUAGAAGCCAGAGCAGGGACCAGUGGUGUUGUAUAGAGCUCCCCAGGGUUGCAGGUGAACUGAUGUGUCUAUUCGAGGUUACCUCUGGUCAUCUACAGCCUGAGAUUAAUGGGUCCCCAAUCCUAAUGCUGCAAUGGUAGUUAUCACGCCCAGAUUUUCAUCUUAAUCCGUAGAGAUGAGCACACAUCAAAAAGCUCAGCAGGCUGGCCCAGAUCGUUAUGAUAAUGAUUAAUAACAGGCUUGUAGACGGUGCUUCUGCCUGCACGGCUCACCAUUGCUUUUAUGCA
This 670-nucleotide long non-coding RNA is filed under the name Cricetulus griseus (Chinese hamster). Its description in RNAcentral is "lncRNA (ENSCGRG00015027639.2)". The record is from RNAcentral. Lineage: Eukaryota; Metazoa; Chordata; Mammalia; Rodentia; Cricetidae.